GUGAGCCUCAGAAUGAGGUGAAUAACCUGCGUUCAGGCUCGAGCCGAGCGAAGCGAGACAGCAACGCGCCAGCGUUGACCCCGAAGGGCGAGGCCAAAGGCCGAGUCAUCCUGCACGACCCACCA
RNAcentral lists this small RNA (125 nucleotides) under Pectobacterium polaris. Its description in RNAcentral is "RtT sRNA". It matches the Rfam family "RtT RNA". Rfam says of the family: This family represents a bacterial cis-regulatory element known as RtT RNA. The exact function of RtT is unknown although it is thought that it may be involved in changing the cellular response in relation to amino acid starvation. The record is from RNAcentral. Lineage: Bacteria; Pseudomonadati; Pseudomonadota; Gammaproteobacteria; Enterobacterales; Pectobacteriaceae.